RNAcentral lists this transfer RNA (87 nucleotides) under Ampelomyces quisqualis. RNAcentral's name for it is "tRNA-Gly". It matches the Rfam family "tRNA". From Rfam's summary of the family: Transfer RNA (tRNA) molecules are approximately 80 nucleotides in length. Their secondary structure includes four short double-helical elements and three loops (D, anti-codon, and T loops). Further hydrogen bonds mediate the characteristic L-shaped molecular structure. tRNAs have two regions of fundamental functional importance: the anti-codon, which is responsible for specific mRNA codon recognition, and the 3' end, to which the tRNAs corresponding amino acid is attached (by aminoacyl-tRNA synthetases). tRNAs cope with the degeneracy of the genetic code in two manners: having more than one tRNA (with a specific anti-codon) for a particular amino acid; and 'wobble' base-pairing, i.e. permitting non-standard base-pairing at the 3rd anti-codon position. The record is from RNAcentral. Lineage: Eukaryota; Fungi; Ascomycota; Dothideomycetes; Pleosporales; Phaeosphaeriaceae.
GCAUCGGUGGUUUAGUGGUAAAAUUAGCCGUUGCCAUCACUUCCUGACCAAUUCGGCUAGCCCCGGGUUCGAUUCCCGGCCGAUGCA